AGUCUUUUACUUGUUUCAGUCAUUUGACUGCGGCCAAGCUGGAGCAGUCAAAUGACUGUUCCAGCAUGGCCGCAGUCGAGCAAAUAAACCCCAGGACUUAUUCUUUGAAACUCGCCGCGUACCGGCAGCUGAUGGCUCACGGACCGGCACCAGUCCGCGGACCACCACUUUGAGUAGAACUGAUGUACAUCUUGUUGAUAAGCCAUAAAAAUGACGAAAUAUUGAUAUCCAUCGCUCCUGAAUUCGAUUUGAGUCGAGUUUUAACACCUGCGCUUUGAGGUGGUGUUGCGCUACACCGCAACCUACCGACGAACAAGCAAGGAUCAGACAUUGAGUAUGCGUGGUCGAUAAUGUUUAACACACUAGCGCUCCUUCUAAUUCGUAUUUGAAUAUGUUCUUAUACAUACCAGUAAAUGUUUUUUACACAAUUUGUACACAAUUCAA
Long non-coding RNA from Octopus bimaculoides (California two-spot octopus), 444 nucleotides. The record is from RefSeq and is a predicted model, not a curated record. Lineage: Eukaryota; Metazoa; Mollusca; Cephalopoda; Octopoda; Octopodidae.